CAGUGGGCGGGGCCAUGGCGGAAGAAAGCAAUGGUCGAGCGAGGCGACCUGCGCAGAAGCAGCUACGGGAGGGAUAUAUCCAAUAGCUCCAGUCCUGUUUGUUGAACAGACGUCUCUUUCUCCACUUUGUGUUUCCACCUUUGUCAGAAGUCCAUUGCCAGAGCCCUUCUAUUGAGCAACAUCCUACACAUCCUACGACUCCCAUUUGUCCUUCCACUCCUG
Ailuropoda melanoleuca (giant panda) is the source of this 222-nucleotide long non-coding RNA. RefSeq lists it as uncharacterized. The transcript is spliced from 3 exons. Lineage: Eukaryota; Metazoa; Chordata; Mammalia; Carnivora; Ursidae. The record is from RefSeq and is a predicted model, not a curated record.